UAACAACAUUAUUGACUAAGACUAUAUACUAUAUUUACAAAAUAACAGGUCAAAUAAUUAGAUACUCUAAUUAUUCCUGAAUUUUCACCUUCUCCAUUGAAGUGGUUGCCCUAGCUUUCUUACUCCAUUGAAGCAACACCUCCGCCUUCUCACUCCAUUGAAGCAGUAUCUCCGCCUCCAUUGAAUCGUGCUCUAUUCUCCAUUGAAGACGAAUCUGAGCUUUCUCACCUCCAUUGAAGCUGCUCCUGACAAGACUUGAAGGAAUAUCUGCUAGUAAGGCAGGACAGUUUGCUGUGGUGGUAGAGGUCUAUGAAGUUGCUCCCUCACUUUUUAUGGUUGAUGUUCGGAGAGCCGCUGGUGACACCCUUGAAUACCACAAGGUCAAUUAGCUUUAAGCUGUUCUUGUUAUCUCGCUUGUUUUUAACUUUUCUGAACCGUCUGCGAUAAGAUAAUGCUAUAAGGGGAUGGCUGUUACGUUAGGGAAAGUUGGAAAUGUGUGUACACUGCAUUUAUGCCUUGUGAUUGGUUACUACGUUGAGGAAAGUUGAGAAUGUGUGUAUAUAUAGUGCAUGUUUACAUUGUGAUUGGUUGUUUAACAUGGCAAUUUAUGAGCACAUACACCACUUCAUGCAAUCUGAUUUCCCCUAAUAGAAAAAUAAUAUGUAUUUGAUUGCUUCUUCUCUCCUAAAAUUACCAUUUUCUUUACUUCGUUCCCCCAUAUAAAAGAUAGGAAAUGAAUGAAAGGGGAGUAAUAAUUUCAAAAGUAAUAGAGGGGAGGUAUUGAGAUUUAUGUUUAUACAAUUUUCAAAUUUUAAUUUUAAUUUUUAUUUUUAAAAGUGGUUAUCCAAGAAAGAAACAAGUUUGCCUUUUCAAUUUCUUUCAAAUUCUGACGUUCUGUGCAUAGGUUCAAAAUGAAAUUAUCAGUUGCAUAUAUAAUUAUAUCAAUAUGGCUUCUACAAGUCUCGUAAGAGUUAAUCAGCUUGGACCUGCAAACUCCAAGAGAAGCUUCAGAUGCUGCUGUCCUCUGUUCAGCUGCUAGUAUUAGGAACACGAUUUACACCUAUCUUUUGGCUGCUGCUGUCCUCUGUUCAGCUGCUAGUGUGGAGCUGGUCUUUGAUAUUUUCGUUCCUUGCUUUGAUUUUUUUUUGGACGAAAAUUGUAAUAUUACAGCCUUUUUUAAUGAAAAUAUGUAACUUUAUAUA
Chenopodium quinoa (quinoa) is the source of this 1202-nucleotide RNA transcript. It is a transcript of the gene named CBL-interacting serine/threonine-protein kinase 24-like, with no coding region annotated. The transcript has 3 exons. NCBI's taxonomy places the organism in Eukaryota, Viridiplantae, Streptophyta, Magnoliopsida, Caryophyllales, Amaranthaceae. The record is from RefSeq and is a predicted model, not a curated record.